CAUUCUCUCUUCAAACAGUUGAGUUUUUCCUCAUGAAAAUUUGAGGCGAUCUCGAGUUUGUCAACACUAACAUGGCAUUAGAGCCGAUGGUACCUGUAAUCGGCGAUUUGACGUAUUGUGAGACUGUGAAGCUUCAUCUAUGAAGGCAGAUCUGGAUUUCAGAUCAUUUUUCUGCCCUCAAAUCAUUUCCUUUACUUUCAAGACCUUUACUUCUUCAGGAUAAAGAAGAAGACUGGUAAUUUCGUUCCUAAUUCUCCUACAAAUCUCGAGCUGAGCUACGUCUGAUUUUCUCAUCAAUACGGACCCUUCACUGAAGAGGCCACUAAGAAUUGGUAAAGCUGCAAGCAGGAUCUACUUUAUCCAUCCAGAUGUUUCUAUUUUUUCUGCUGCUGCUGGCUCUCCCAUAAUCUCUGAUUCUUCUUUAUGUUCUUCUAAUGUUUCUCUUGUAUACACUUGUUCACUUUUCACUUGUAACACAACUGACGAUAUUAAUAAAAUGGGAUUGUUUUGACAUCAAAGAA
Molecule: long non-coding RNA, 521 nt
Organism: Capsicum annuum
Lineage: Eukaryota; Viridiplantae; Streptophyta; Magnoliopsida; Solanales; Solanaceae
Exons: 2
Source: RefSeq, a predicted model, not a curated record